GAUGAUUGUCAAAUAGGUAUUUUUAUAUUUGAGACACAAUUUUUAUAAGACCAUUAAAUUUUCAUCUUUAUAUAGAAAGCUUUUUAUCAAAUGUUAAGUCACUCAACCAAGCGUAAGAUUUGUUCUGAACUUUGAACAGUUUGAAACUAAUUGCUACAUUCAAUCUAUUGUCACUUGGUUCUUCCUGUUUCCGUAUCUUGCCUUUUCAUGUUUGCUUGGUGAUAGUUCACCUUGCACUAUUUACAAUGGCUGGUGAAUGUUUUAAAAAAUGGUUUUCAACCUUGUGAUGGUAGUUCAGAAUGAUGUUUAUAAAUCAAAUUUUCAAAGCCUUCAUGGUGAUACAAAAAUGUGUAUGUAUCAUUUUUUUGUUGAGUGUAUCAUUAUUUAGAAGGAUUAAAUAAACAAAAAAAAAUAAACAGUGUAGAAAUAAAAAUUUAGAAGAUAGUCAAAAAUUGUUAGUUACCCCCCCCCCCCCCCCCC
This is a non-coding RNA of Biomphalaria pfeifferi, 480 nucleotides long. NCBI's taxonomy places the organism in Eukaryota, Metazoa, Mollusca, Gastropoda, Planorbidae. The record is from the annotation of a GenBank genome assembly.